RNAcentral lists this ribosomal RNA (254 nucleotides) under uncultured bacterium. RNAcentral describes it as "partial 16S ribosomal RNA". It matches the Rfam family "Bacterial small subunit ribosomal RNA", at positions 524 to 776 of the family's 1533-position model. The record is from RNAcentral.
UACGUAGGGCGCGAGCGUUGUCCGGAAUUACUGGGCGUAAAGAGCUCGUAGGUGGUUUGUCGCGUUGUCCGUGAAAACUCACAGCUCAACUGUGGGCGUGCGGGCGAUACGGGCAUCACUGGAGUUCGGCAGGGGAGACUGGAAUUCCUGGUGUAGCGGUGAAAUGCGCAGAUAUCGGGAGGAACACCAGUGGCGAAGGCGACUACCUGGCCCAUUCUUGACGCUGAGGCGCGAAAGCUAGGGGAGCGAACGGG